Molecule: long non-coding RNA, 955 nt
Organism: Wyeomyia smithii (pitcher-plant mosquito)
Lineage: Eukaryota; Metazoa; Arthropoda; Insecta; Diptera; Culicidae
Exons: 3
Source: RefSeq, a predicted model, not a curated record
UCAGAAGCUUAUCAGUUGUAUGUGUUUUCGAAGACAGUUAUCAAAAAUGAUUGUACAAUAUGCCAAUCUGGAAGCUUCAACGUAUGUAGAGAAUAAUACUAAAGUUAUACAAUUGUUGAGCAACCAAAAAUGUCAACCUUGAGUCAAAAACAUUUUUUUUUAUUAGUUUCAUUUAAAAAAAUUAAAAAAUAUUUUUCUAUAACAUUCAGCAUAAGUAAGCAAUAUAUAUCACAAUAUUUAUUUUACAAUACUUCACACAUACUUUAGUCAGACGCCUGUUUGGAGUAUAUUCUUUUUAUGCAUCGCAAAAUAACAAUAUUUCAAAAUUAAGCUUAAAGAAUUUAAUUUUUAUAUGAGAAUACUUCUUCCUUCUCCAUCCUAUAAGUUAUCCAAACCAUGGAGAUAACUCUCCGUGAAUAUAGACAGAACCUUAACAUCCAAUCUUGCUGUCAAAGAAUGAAUUGUGGCCAUAUAGAUUUUACGAAGACAAUAUAGUGGGGAGCAGGAAUAGUACAGAAAUGUCCCUACUUGUAAACAUGGACACGAUAUUAAAAAAAAAGAAAAUUGGUUACAAAAAAUAUUGCCCAAUAGUUAAUACAAAUUUCAGAGCUCUUCGAGGCACUUUCAACUGAGCUGUGAGCUGAAUUGUCUUUGAUCAGAUCCGUCUGUGGAACCACUUUUUGCUAGUUUCCGAGUCAAUUUCUGAUUUGCACUUUUCUUUCAUUCAGAAGUGUUCUUUAACUAUUAGGCUUAAUGUGAACCAUUUGCCUUUUUGGGUAUUUUUAUUAUACUAUCCAGCUUUCCUCAAGCGGGGAUGACGGACAAUCGAUGCAAUCCAUUUUGACAUUCUUUUCUGUAGGCCAAGUAAUCUUCAAUCGAUCCUGAUCGACCAUCUCCGAUUUUGCUGAAACUUUUCACAGUUGCUCCGUUUUGAUAAUAAAAUCAUUAUAAGAUA